This 393-nucleotide ribosomal RNA is filed under the name Theridion glaucescens. RNAcentral's name for it is "partial 16S ribosomal RNA". The record is from RNAcentral. Lineage: Eukaryota; Metazoa; Arthropoda; Arachnida; Araneae; Theridiidae.
CCUGCUCAAUGAAAUAUAAAUAGCCGCAGAUAUUCUGUGCUAAGGUAGCAUAAUCAUUUGUUUUUUAAUUAAAAACUAGAAUGAAAGGUUUAACAUUUUAAUUAUUUUAUUAUUUAUAUCUUUUAAACUUAUAUUAAAUAUAAAAAUAUAUUUAUAAAAAAAAUAGACGACAAGACCCUAUUGAACUUUACUAAUGUUUAGCUGGGGCAGCUUUUUAAUAAAUAUUUUAAAUUAUUUUAUAAAAAAUUAUCCAAUAUAACUGAUUAUAUAACCAAGUUACCAUAGGGAUAACAGCGUAAUAUUAUUUUAAAGUUCUCAUUAAAAAUAAUGUUUGCGACCUCGAUGUUGAAUUAUUAUUCUUUAUUAAUGCAAUAAUUAUAAAAGUAGGUCUGU